CCUUUGGCCGUUCGGCCCUGUGAAAUUGACUUUUUAAGAACCCAGCCACAGAGGGGAUGGUCCAGGCCUUUGGCGUCGGCCUUUCAUCCGGUGCCAACGUCCAACUCUUCUUUCGAUUUCAUUUGCGGGCUAGGGAUGACCGACAGAUCGAGAGCGAGAGGGUUUAUAAGUUGUCGAUCAGGCAUUAUCGAAAGACUGGAAUAUAGAUAUUGGUUUCGAAAUAUGAGAGCACGAAACACGAUAGGUGGUAGAAUACGCGAGAAUGGCACGAUAGAAGGGUUCUUUUUAUACGAAGAGGUGUAGGUCCGUGGUGGCUUUUAGAGUAAGUGUAUCGGCUGGAUAGUUGCAUUUAUUGAAGAGAAUUAAAUGCUUUUUUAAAUUAGA
This is a long non-coding RNA of Bombus huntii, 384 nucleotides long. RefSeq lists it as uncharacterized. Lineage: Eukaryota; Metazoa; Arthropoda; Insecta; Hymenoptera; Apidae. The record is from RefSeq and is a predicted model, not a curated record. The transcript is spliced from 2 exons.